Molecule: non-coding RNA, 92 nt
Organism: Morchella snyderi
Lineage: Eukaryota; Fungi; Ascomycota; Pezizomycetes; Pezizales; Morchellaceae
Source: the annotation of a GenBank genome assembly
GUGAGUAUAGUAUAGUGGUUAGUAUUCCUCGUUGUGGUCCCCUACUAAGGGUCAAGCCCGAGGUGACGCAAGUUCGAUUCCUGCUACUCACA